Paramuricea clavata is the source of this 459-nucleotide non-coding RNA. The record is from the annotation of a GenBank genome assembly. NCBI's taxonomy places the organism in Eukaryota, Metazoa, Cnidaria, Anthozoa, Malacalcyonacea, Plexauridae.
CUAAGUCGCAGUGUGUGAAACGUUUCCUAAGUCUAAGAAUUAAAUCUUACAAAAAAGUAGUUAUAACUAAUUUUUCUAUUGUUUGUAAUUUAUCUAUGUAGUUCUGUUCCUUUCUGCUGUCACGACUUGUCUUAAACGUACGUGAUAUGUAAAUAACAUAGAAAUUAAAUUACGGGAAUCACUGAGUAUUUUAAUAAAAUAUAAAACAACUCCGAAAAUAAAUAUUUUAAUCGUUCUAUUAAAAUUCUAUCAACCCUAUAAACUGUUAUUAAUGUUUUGUGUAUCAAUACAUGGCACAUGGCAAUUUUCUUGUCAACGAUUCCCGCUUCGCAUUCAAUGAUUCCUUCGUGACUUCAAUACCCUGGUUGCCAGAGGUUCUGUAUCUUUCGCCUUAUUCCCGCUCCUAUUUAUUUUACGCGAGGCGAAGAGAACCUCUGGUGGCACGCGAUACAAAUCUCU